This 189-nucleotide ribosomal RNA is filed under the name uncultured bacterium. RNAcentral describes it as "partial 16S rRNA". It matches the Rfam family "Bacterial small subunit ribosomal RNA", at positions 338 to 524 of the family's 1533-position model. The record is from RNAcentral.
CCUACGGGAGGCAGCAGUAMGGAAUAUUGGUCAAUGGNGGGAAGUCUGAACCAGCCAUGCCGCGUGGAGGAUGAAGGUCCUCUGGAUUGUAAACUUCUUUUAUCUGGGAAGAAAUGCUUUUUUUCCAAAGAGCUUGACGGUACCGGAUGAAUAAGCACCGGCUAACUCCAUGCCAGCAGCCGCGGUAAU